This 651-nucleotide ribosomal RNA is filed under the name Triticum aestivum (bread wheat). RNAcentral's name for it is "partial small subunit ribosomal RNA". The record is from RNAcentral. Lineage: Eukaryota; Viridiplantae; Streptophyta; Magnoliopsida; Poales; Poaceae.
AUGGAAGGCGGAUAUGAAGGCGAUAAAGAGCCUGAGCCCAAGCAAGUAUUCACAGAGAAGCAAAAGAAGUGGGCUAAGGAUUUUUUGACGACACCGUCCCAAGCCGAGCUGAAUAUGCCUGACGACUAUGGACAUAAACUUCGUAGGCAAGCAAAAAUAUUGAAGGAGGAGAAAGAAGAAAGUAAAAAAAGCGGGAAACAAGUAGACCAGCUCGGGAUGCAGAAGAAACAAUCGAUCCCCCCGCUCAUAGUGAAAGCCGGUCCGGAAGAGGACCCCGAGAUCAUAGCAGCUGCGGCAGCACUUGGAUUGACUGUAGCGAGUGCCAUGAAACAAGCGUCCGAGAUGGGUUUGACUCUUCGUGCCUUCUUAGGCCUUGAGGAUGCGCCAGUAUGUGAGAUAGCAUUACAAUAUGUGCGGAAUGGGCCUCUCGUCGAGCCUGCGCGGGAAAAGAGUCUACCACCACAAAUGCGAAAUCUGCUACGUUGGUACAAGCAAUUCAUAACAUGGGCCGACAAAGAAUAUGUUUAUGCGGAUGUUACAGAUGAGCAUCACACCAAACCGUACUCUGUACAAGUUCAUAUGAGUGAAUUGUUCCAGCUGUUCAAUCUGCGCGACCUCGACAAAUCUAUGCUGAGUUGCUACGUUCUGUAA